This 213-nucleotide long non-coding RNA is filed under the name Elaeis guineensis (African oil palm). Its description in RNAcentral is "long non-coding RNA (EGUI_LNC048269)". Lineage: Eukaryota; Viridiplantae; Streptophyta; Magnoliopsida; Arecales; Arecaceae. The record is from RNAcentral.
UUGUCGGGCGUUAUCAACCGAUACCGACUAGGGAUAUGAUAAUGUUCCCUUAGUCAGUUAACGGCCAACUCCAUCAACUCGAACCUCUCGAUGAGAGGUCUAAAGAGGUUUUUGGUAGUCGGCUGUUCAUUUGACUUAUCUAGAUCUGACUGAUUCUAUCGAGAAGAUGCCUCAUCACUCACCCCGAGUAAUCUCCUCGAUCAUCCUCUGGGC